AAGAGAAGACGAACAAAUAGGAACUGCUAAUUACCUAUAAUUGAGGUUAAACUCCACAAUUCUCUUU
RNAcentral lists this transfer RNA (67 nucleotides) under Microcaecilia unicolor. Its description in RNAcentral is "tRNA-Ser". Lineage: Eukaryota; Metazoa; Chordata; Amphibia; Gymnophiona; Siphonopidae. The record is from RNAcentral.